RNAcentral lists this ribosomal RNA (487 nucleotides) under uncultured bacterium. Its description in RNAcentral is "bacterial SSU rRNA". It matches the Rfam family "Bacterial small subunit ribosomal RNA", at positions 29 to 510 of the family's 1533-position model. The record is from RNAcentral.
AACGAACGCUGGCGGCGCGCCUAAUACAUGCAAGUCGAGCGAGAAGACGUAGCAAUACGUUUGUAAAGCGGCGAACGGGUGAGGAAUACAUGGGUAACCUACCCUCGAGUGGGGAAUAACUAGCCGAAAGGUUAGCUAAUACCGCGUACGCUCCUUGGACUUCGGUUCAGGGAGGAAAGCGAUACCGUGGGUAUCGCGCUCUUGGAUGGGCUCAUGUCCUAUCAGCUUGUUGGUGAGGAACGGCUCACCAAGGCUUCGACGGGUAGCUGGUCUGAGAGGACGAUCAGCCACACUGGCAUUGCGACACGGGCCAGACUCCUACGGGAGGCAGCAGUAAGGAAUAUUGCGCAAUGGGCGAAAGCCUGACGCAGCGACGCCGCGUGGGGGAUGAAGGUCUUCGGAUUGUAAACCCCUUUCGGGAGGGAAGAUGGAACGAGCAAUCGUUCGGACGGUACCUCCAGAAGCAGCCACGGCUAACUUCGUGCCA